AGUACGUCGAUUUGAUUGGGAAUGAUGAAAGCAAUGGUGAAGCAAAUUCUAUUAACUAUGCGCAGCCUGCUAGUAGAUAAGCUUGGCUCAGCUACAGUUGUCUUUCAUAUAAAGGAUAGCAGUUAUGUUUUCACGUUCGACUGCACUGUUUUUCAAAGUUCCUUCUUUUUUGCAUGACCGCUUAUCUUUCUUAAAUGUCACAUGGACGCGAUGUGACUCUAGAUUAAUAAAACAUGACUGUUUUACAGAUGCACACACAACCAUGGAUAGCCUCACACAUGUGUAAAGUUACUGGUGUCUCUACAAGAAGUUAGUUCUCUAAGAAGAAAGUUACUGGUGUCUCUCUGAAGAGCCAGGCAUAAACCGGAAGACGUCGCUUGGGUCUGCCAGUGAUUAGGCUGCUUCCGCAUGUAACCAUCUAUACUGCAAGAGAAACUGCGGGAUGACGGUUGCGAAGUGGCGUAGCAAUCACGUGAUUAUUAUUAUGACCAUUAUUGUCUUAUUAUGCGUCUUAUCCGUGUCACCCUAUAUUGUUAAUAAUUAGCCUAUUUAUGUUGUAAUAUCAUAUUUUGUACUAUUAGAAAGAGCGUUUCUUACAGUGCAUGUAACAUCACUGUACUUGGUUUGUGUUCAAUAAACAAGAGUUCGUUGGUACGA
Long non-coding RNA from Ornithodoros turicata, 657 nucleotides. RefSeq lists it as uncharacterized. The transcript is spliced from 2 exons. The record is from RefSeq and is a predicted model, not a curated record. Lineage: Eukaryota; Metazoa; Arthropoda; Arachnida; Ixodida; Argasidae.